Molecule: unclassified non-coding RNA, 473 nt
Filed under: Hevea brasiliensis (rubber tree)
Lineage: Eukaryota; Viridiplantae; Streptophyta; Magnoliopsida; Malpighiales; Euphorbiaceae
Source: RNAcentral
GCCUGAACCACCUGCUGAAUCUUUAGCUUGGGUUCGUGGGGCAGCAAAAGUGAAGAGACUUGCUCUUCCUGCUAGCCUCAUUGUAGGCAUUACUGCUGUCUCAGGGGCCUUUGUUGCUGGAAAUNNNNNNNNNNNNAUAUAACACUUUCCCCAAGAUGGGUGAUACAUGGAUUCCUGAAGAUAUCUUUGAAAUGAAGCCACUAAUUCGAAACUUCUUUGAGAAUACAUCAACUGUGCAGCUUGACCACCGUAUCCUUGCAACUACUACCUUGAUUUCAAUUGGUGGAUUGUGGUGGUUCACGAGAAAGCUGGACAUACAUCCAGCAGUACGAUCUUUAAUUGGAAGCACACUUGGCAUGGCUGCUCUGCAGGUCACCUUAGGGAUAUCAACACUUCUAUCAUAUGUGCCUGUAUCACUUGGAACUGCACAUCAGGCUGGAGCCUUAACGCUUAUGACACUUAUGAUUCUGCUC